Non-coding RNA from Triticum aestivum (bread wheat), 135 nucleotides. The record is from Rfam. NCBI's taxonomy places the organism in Eukaryota, Viridiplantae, Streptophyta, Magnoliopsida, Poales, Poaceae.
UUUGUACUCCCUCCGUCCCAAAAUUCUUGUCUUAAAUUUGUCUAGAUACGGAUGUAUCUAAUACUAAAAUAUGAUUUGAUACAUCCAUAUUUAGACAAAUUUAAGACAAAGAUUUUGGGACGGAUGGAGUAGUAU